AAUAUCAGGGGAGCUUGUAUACAGGCUGAGAGGAAGGUAUGACCUUCGACCCGUUAAACCUGAUUUGGAUAAUGCCAACGUAGGGAUUCUUGAUAU
This 96-nucleotide non-coding RNA is filed under the name human gut metagenome. Its description in RNAcentral is "TPP riboswitch (THI element)". It matches the Rfam family "TPP riboswitch aptamer (THI element)". From Rfam's summary of the family: Vitamin B(1) in its active form thiamin pyrophosphate (TPP) is an essential coenzyme that is synthesised by coupling of pyrimidine and thiazole moieties in bacteria. The previously detected thiamin-regulatory element, thi box was extended, resulting in a new, highly conserved RNA secondary structure, the THI element, which is widely distributed in eubacteria and also occurs in some archaea. The record is from RNAcentral.